UGUUUGAAUUAGAGCUCCUUUAAAGUGUUUUAGAUUAUGAUAAUAAUGUUAUAUUAUUUUUAUAAUAAUACAUAUCUGCAAACCAAAUGUAUUUCUGAAAACCCCUUUUUGCAUCUUCAAUAGUUGUAGAUGUUCCAACGUUCGUAGACCUUUCAUACAAACUUUAUAACAUACCAUUGUAGGAAAGACUAUAAAUUGCUUCUGAGAAUCUACGUCUAACAGUCGCUUCCCAACCCCCUAUGUCCAGUAGCCUUCAGAAAUAUCUAUUAGGAGGGAUUCACUUAUUCACAUCUCUUUUUUUUAAUCUGUCCUGGCAGCUAAAUAUUCGGGGCUGUGGGUUUGCGCUAAAGCUGUGGUAACUGUAUUAAAGUAUAUGCUCCACGUUCUGUCCCUAACUAGGGGGGUGUUUCGAGACAUUUGUUGUUUUACAAUGGUUACAUGUUCAUUACACACCUAUGCAUUCUAUAUUAUUAAGUAGGCUGUUGGUCUUUUGAGGUCCGUUAUGUCAAUUUGCCUUUAUACAUCUCAUUGACCUACUGUCAACUCCCUCAGUCGUAAACAUCUACAAUAAUCAUUAGACGUACGCGUCAGAGUUAUCAUACCCCUUGUCGGGGUUUGUACAGAGUUGGUUAAAUCCGCUCUUUUGCUCCCCAUUUACAUGGCUAAUAAUCUCCAAGCUGCUCUAAGCGGUGUUGUUUGAGUGAAUAUUGUUUUACAUAAAGUUAAUAACCCCCCCUAAACCGAUAUAUGAAAUUACCUCUGCCCCUAUCUAUAAAGCGUGAGAUACAUUUUUAAAACCAGUGAUUUAAUUCAAAAGAUUUAGUACCUACAUUUUAACACAUUCCAAAAUGUUUACUAUUUCUUACAGAUAAAGGGUCCUGUUAGCCCCGACCUGUAACUGACAGUUAGACUUACAGGUUAUGUCGUUGUCUUUUGUUUGAAUUGUUUAUGUGUCCGCUGUGCGGGGGAAAUGAUAAUACAAGCGGAACUAUGUAGCUAAUACUGUUGUAACGGGGAUCCUUAUUGUAGCAACACACUUUUGGAGGGAAGGCAAUCAAUCCUGCGCUGCGUUAACUAAGUUUUCAUGUCAUCGGGUGUAGUUCAUAAAGGUUGAAGAGUGUAUGUUAGGAUGAAGUGUGAAUUCAUGCCAGGAAUAAUAAAUGUGAAGUUUGAUUUCCUCCCUUCUGUAAUAAGCAGCCAAUGAGUUCUCACGGAAGGGGAUAAUUCUCACUGAAACUACAGAAUAAAGCCGCCAGUUAAAAUCAAGGAACGGUUGUGCUCGUGGUUACUGAAGGGGGCUACAAGACCAUUAUCCGUUUCGAAUUCACCAACUCAAAGACGCUUGCCCGCUCCAUCAUAACUCCGUAAGUUUUCCCUCCCUGUGUAGAUCAAACGUCCUGCCUGUAAAUCCUGGGUAUGCCCACAUCAUUAAUGAAUAAGAUGUGUAGAAAACUGUUUAGCCAUAAUUAAAGGCCUUUCAUAAAGAGGCUGUCGUGGUUGCAUGUGCCUCAUGUUUAACACGUAUUGCUUGUUACAGAAUACUACUGUUGUACAUCUAAUAUCCCCUAGCAGAUUUCGUUGCCUUUGCACAAAUUCUGUCAUGUUACUGUGGUCUUUUUAAAAGUCAAUAAAAAUGUGUGUAAAGUGUACAUGUCUGUUUCACUGUAUAUUUGUUUAGGCCCUCCUAGAAACACCUAAUUAAAGGCCUUUCAUAAAGAGGCUGUCAUGAUUGCAUGUGCCUCAUGUUUAACAUGUAUUGCUUGUUACAGAAUACUACUGUUGUACAUCUAAUAUCCCCUAGCAGAUUUCGUUGCCUUUGCACAAAUUCUGUCAUGUUACUGUGGUCUUUUUAAAAGUCAAUAAAUAUGUGUGGAAAGUGUACAUGUUUGUUUCACUGUAGAUCUGUUUAAGACCUCCUAGAAACACCUAAUUUCAUCCCACAGCAUUAAUUAAUAAACUGUGUAGAAGCUGUUUAGCCAUAAGUAAAGGCCUUUCAUAAAGCGGCUGUCAUGAUAAACCUGAAUCUGAAAAUACCUUUAGGAUCUUUUCUUUGGGG
This is a long non-coding RNA of Oncorhynchus keta (chum salmon), 2056 nucleotides long. RefSeq lists it as uncharacterized. NCBI's taxonomy places the organism in Eukaryota, Metazoa, Chordata, Actinopteri, Salmoniformes, Salmonidae. The record is from RefSeq and is a predicted model, not a curated record. The transcript is spliced from 2 exons.